UACGUAGGCAGCGAGCGUUGUUCGGAAUUACUGGGCGUAAAGAGUGUGUAGGCGGCGCUCUAAGUUCGGUGUGAAAUCUCUCGGCUUAACUGAGAGGGUGCGCCGGAAACUGGAGUGCUCGAACGUGGGAGAGGAAAGCGGAAUUCCUGGUGUAGCGGUGAAAUGCGUAGAUAUCUGGAGGAACACCGGUGGCGAAGGCGGCAUCCUGGACCGGUAUUGACGCUGAGGCGCGAAAGCCAGGGGAGCAAACGGG
RNAcentral lists this ribosomal RNA (253 nucleotides) under uncultured bacterium. RNAcentral describes it as "partial 16S ribosomal RNA". It matches the Rfam family "Bacterial small subunit ribosomal RNA", at positions 524 to 776 of the family's 1533-position model. The record is from RNAcentral.